CCUACGGGAGGCAGCAGUGGGGAAUUUUCCGCAAUGGGCGAAAGCCUGACGGAGCAACGCCGCGUGAGGGAUGAAGGCCUCUGGGCUGUAAACCCCUUUUAUCAAGGAAGAAGAUCUGACGGUACUUGAUGAAUAAGCCACGGCUAAUUCCGUGCCAGCAGCCGCGGUAAUACGGGAGUGGCAAGCGUUAUCCGGAAUUAUUGGGCGUAAAGCGUCCGCAGGCGGUCUUGUAAGUCUGUCGUUAAAGCGUGGAGCUCAACUCCAUUUCGGCGGUGGAAACUACAAGACUAGAGUGUGGUAGGGGCAGAGGGAAUUCCCGGUGUAGCGGUGAAAUGCGUAGAUAUCGGGAAGAACACCAGUGGCGAAGGCGCUCUGCUGGGCCAUAACUGACGCUCAUGGACGAAAGCUAGGGGAGCGAAAGGGAUUAGAUACCCCUGUAGUCCUAGCCGUAAACGAUGAACACUAGGUNUCGGGGGAAUCGACCCCCUCGGUGUCGUAGCUAACGCGUUAAGUGUUCCGCCUGGGGAGUACGGCACGCAAGUGUGAAACUCAAAUGAAUUGACGG
This 565-nucleotide ribosomal RNA is filed under the name uncultured bacterium. RNAcentral's name for it is "bacterial SSU rRNA". It matches the Rfam family "Bacterial small subunit ribosomal RNA", at positions 338 to 916 of the family's 1533-position model. The record is from RNAcentral.